UUACUAUAUAACUGGUAACGUCAGGCUGUCCGUUUCAGAUAUUUAUUUACAGUUUUUAUAAAAUCAAGUUCAGGAAAAGAUUUGAACUGUUUUCAGAUACAGAUGUGUUCAAUAUUUCAUUUUGUUGCAAAUUGUGAAAUCUAGAUGGUCUAAAUUGUGAAAGUAAUCGGCGACCGAGUUACCGUAGUAAAUGGUGCUCCUUACCUUGUUCUGCAAUCACGGGCCGGUCAUGUGGCGAGGUGAUGACGUCGCCACUUCUAGUAGCUGCCAACCCUGCUGCACGUCCGGCCGUAUUUUAUUGACAUCUGCACAAAGUAGUAUUAUUUAUUCUAGAUAAUUAUUUCCAUUGGUUUAUUUUCUUAUAAAUAAAUCACUUGAGUCACUAGUGAUAUGUUCACGGGAAACAGUAAUGUUUGGUGACGCCUGAGCUGAUUGUGUACAUGAAAUAAAGAUACGAGCAGUACUCACAGUA
Molecule: long non-coding RNA, 472 nt
Organism: Galleria mellonella (greater wax moth)
Lineage: Eukaryota; Metazoa; Arthropoda; Insecta; Lepidoptera; Pyralidae
Exons: 2
Source: RefSeq, a predicted model, not a curated record